AUUGAACGCUGGCGGCAGGCCUAACACAUGCAAGUCGAGCGAGCGGCGGACGGGUGAGUAAUGUAUGGGGAUCUGCCUGAUAGAGGGGGAUAACUACUGGCAACGGUAGCUAAUACCGCAUAAUAUCCGAUGAACCCAUAUGGGAAUAGCUAGUAGGUGGGGUAACGGCUCACCUAGGCGACGAUCUCUAGCCGUUCUGAGAGGAUGACCAGCAACACUGGGACUGAGACACGGCCCCGAUUCUGACGGGAGGAAGCAGUGGGGAAUAUUGCACAAUGGGGGCAAGCCUGAUGCAGCCAUGCCGCUUGUAUGAAGAAGGCCUUAGGGUUGUAAAGUACUUUCAGCGGGGAGGCGUUACCCGCAGAAGAAGCACCGGCUAACUCCGUGCCAGCAGCCGCGGUAAUAC
RNAcentral lists this ribosomal RNA (406 nucleotides) under uncultured bacterium. Its description in RNAcentral is "partial 16S ribosomal RNA". It matches the Rfam family "Bacterial small subunit ribosomal RNA", at positions 30 to 526 of the family's 1533-position model. The record is from RNAcentral.